CUCUCACCAUGCACAAAAGUUAACUCAAAAUGGAUCAAGGAGCUUGAUAUCAAAUCAGAGACUCUGCGUCUGAUAGAAGAAAAAGUUGGCUCCGAUCUACAUAUUGUGGGGUCAGGCUCCAAAUUCCUUAAUAGGACACCCAUAGCACAAGAGUUAAUAGCAAGAAUCAACAAAUGGGACUUACUCAAACUAAAAAGUUUUUUUCUCAGCAAGAGAAACAAUAAGAGAGGUAAAUAGGGAGCCUACAUCAUGGGAACAAAUUUUUACUCCUCACACUUCAGAUAGAGCCCUAAUAUCCAGAGUAUACAAAGAACUCAAAAAAUUAAACAAUAAGAUAACAAAUAACCCAAUCAACAAAUGGGCCAAGGACCUGAACAGACACUUCUCAGAGGAGGACAUACAAUCAAUCAACAAGUACAUGAAAAAAU
Molecule: long non-coding RNA, 428 nt
Filed under: Marmota monax (woodchuck)
Lineage: Eukaryota; Metazoa; Chordata; Mammalia; Rodentia; Sciuridae
Source: RNAcentral